This is a long non-coding RNA of Papaver somniferum (opium poppy), 3407 nucleotides long. RefSeq lists it as uncharacterized. NCBI's taxonomy places the organism in Eukaryota, Viridiplantae, Streptophyta, Magnoliopsida, Ranunculales, Papaveraceae. The transcript has 2 exons. The record is from RefSeq and is a predicted model, not a curated record.
AAAGGCCAGUCGUUUCGAAUUGUUUGUCAUCAGUGGGAUUAAAAGCUCAGUAAUUUCUCGGCAAUCAAUAGAAUUGAAGCCGUUUAUUUUUCUUUGCAAUCAGUGGAAUGGAAUCUUAUAUUGAUCUUUCCAGGAAAAAUUGGAAGUAAUUAGUUUCUUUUUUUUUUGGCUCACUCAGUGGUGAAAAUUCGUAAGUAUUGUAGAAAGUUAUUGUGUUGUUUGACAACACAGGUAAGUUCCUAAUUAGAAGCUCAACGUUAUUCCUUUCAAAGAUGAGUUUUUUUUUUCUAUGUCGAUUUGAUUUGAUUGCUAUUUUUUUUUUGUUCUGUGACUAUGAGUUUAAAUUGAGAUUUUGUCUUCAGAUUCAGUUCUUGAAGUUGUUGAUCUGGGCUUAUUGAAAUUGCUGUGCAGAAACCCCUAUUGCUCUUUCUAAUGGAUGAGUAAGUUGUUCUACAGCUUAAAUUUCUUUUAUUUCGUAUUUGGUUGGCUUAUAAUUAAGAAUUUUUUAUGGAUUCGUUAGCAAAAGCCAUUUGAGCCACUCCCUAAUAAUAUUCUCAUGAAGUCCAUUUAUGUUCAUAAAUGUUAUUUCUUACACUUUUCUUAUGAUUUUCCGUCUACAUGGUCACCACUCACCUGUACUAAUUUAACUGCUACUGCUAAAUAUCCUCGAAACUGUUUUACUGCAGUUUAGCUCUGUAUAUUCAAAUAUCUACUUCUUUCCAAUGUCCUUGGGAAGAAAUUCAACUAAUUGGACACAACUAAAAUUUCAGCACCCUACUGUAUUCAUUUUGAGAUUUCAUGCUUUCCUGUCAAUAGAGUUCUAUGUAAAACAAAUCAAGCAAAAUAUAUUCUAUUAACAGAAAGAUGAAAAUCACCACAUAUAAAGAUAUGUUAGCACGAAUAGACUCCCAAAGGCCUAACAAGAGCAAAUGUCGGCGUACAUUCACCACAAAUAUGAGACGAUGUAGAGGCAUCAAGCUGAAGAGUUGCAAAAUCUGCCUAAACCAUUAAGAUCCAGUACAGGUCAACAUCUUUUCAAUAAAACUCUUCGGAAAGUUUAUAUUUUAAAAGAAGCAUCGGCUUAUGGUUAAGUUGGUAAGCAUUUCUAUAUGAUUACACUAUCAUCGUUUUAUCGCACCUUUACAUAUAGCAGUAUAGAGAUAAAUAUUUCAAUGCCGAUUACUUAAAUUAAAAAAAAAAACAAAACAAAGUAUUCUCCGCCAAAAGACUUAGGUAUCAUUUUCAAAUUAGGGGUUUGUACUGAUGUAAUUUUCAACUUAAUUUUGAUUUUUGUUAUAAUUUUCAAGCCCAGGAUAUACACAAAAUUCCUUCUUCGUCAUUUGGUACAAUCCAGGUAUUAGUCAGUGCUAUUUUGCUUCUUUGUUGAUUUAACAUUUUUUGUUUUUUCGCAAUUUGCAGUUAAUUUUUUUUUAAUUUAUGUUUUUUAUGUUUAUUAUCCAGUUUUUUUUCUUCAUUUUUAAGGGCUUUUGCUCUCCCAUGAUCCCAUCUGGAGUAUUUUGAUAUAAUUUGUACAAUCACUCAAGUGAUUAAUUGGAAGUGCCAAUUCUAAGGAAAUCAAGUAAUGUUAUGGAUUUAGUAGAUUUUUUUUUUAUUGAUCCAUGUUUGAUAGUAUGCAUAGAACUACCGAUUAGCUUAAGGAGUUUCCAGAGCCUGUGAUUCUACCAAGCUUCAAUUUUUUAUGAAUUUCCAUUUUUGAGAUGAACUGUCUGCUUAAAUGCACCAAAGAGAUGAACCUAGAUAGAACAAUAUAGGCUUCAUAUAUAGUAGCUUCAUUUUUUAUAUUCCUUUUUAACGGCACUAAGCGGCAUCUAGGUCGGUUGCAUAUAGGGAGUUGUAUUUUCUGUGUUUGAAUAGAAUGUUUAUGGGUUAGUAAUGAAGAAUCCACUAUUGAAGCGUAAUAUAACUCGUAGGACUACAUAAUCAUGUACCUUAAUUUCUACGUUUGAAGAUCACGAAGACAUGGUGUAUAUAUAUGAAUUUGGAGUAUUGUUAAUGGAUAGUCAUAUUCUUUUACUUUUUGUUAUGGUUUCCUGGUUACCAUUUCAUAUUUCUUAUUUUUCAAACAGUCCAAUAAAAACAAGCUAUCAUAGUUUAAAUCAAAUUGAUUUGUUUGUGAUACAUACUUGAUUUGUUUGUGAUACAUACUUCAGCUCUAUGUUAUGUUUUUCAAACUUAUCAAUUUAGAAUCACAAAGACAUCCCAGUUUCAUAGAGCAUAUAACCUUAUACUUUAUCACAUAAUAUAGCAAGAAUGUUAUUUGAUUACUUCGCCUUAGUAGCUUUUUGAUGUGAUCUCAGUUUUUUGUUAUCAGUGAUGUAGUGAUUUAUAAUGGCAUCUCAAUACCGGUAUAUGUCUCUCAAGAAAAAACCAAUUACCAGGUAUAUGAUUAUCAACUGGAUACCUGAAAUGGCAAAGGGAAACCAUUUCAGAUUCAAGUUAGGCUCAACUGUAAGUGGGAUAUAGUUGGCUUCAAGGAUACCAAAGAGGUUACCAGUUUUAAUUUAUUGUUGCUCGACCCAAACGUAAGUUACCUAUAUAUUUUUCGGUUUCUUUUUUCUUCCUAUACGAAUAAAAUAUUUUUCAAACUUCAUCAUUGCUCUCUGGAUUUCCGGAACUUCGUCAUUGCUCUCUGGAUUAGGUGCCCUGUUUGUUGGCAUACAGUUAGAAUUUUGCAUCUUUUUCUUUCUUUUUGUUCUUCUUCAUGGUUUUGAACAAUUUAUUACUUAUAUUCAAGUGAUGCCUUUUGGUUUUUUAUCAGUAUGGAAUAUGAUGAGGGACGAUCUAAGUUAACAAUCAAUGUACAAGAAUGCAUUUUCUUGAAUAUCAAGAGAACAUAUUAUUGGUGCCACCAGUUUGAUUCUUGCUUCGCCAGAAUCUCCACCUUUUUUCUCCCACGGAUUUUGCACAUACCUUUACUUUUCCGGUGAGUAAAAGUCUAGAAAAUCCGAUGAUGCCAGGUUUGUGCCACUAAGCUGACUAAUUCAAGGAUUUAUGCAAAAGCUUGGUGGAUCGAGGUCCCAGUCACAAACAUUUUAGAAUUUUCGAUUAAUUUAUACUUUCAGAUCAGAGGAUACAAUAUUUCUAAAUAAUAUGUACGAAUACAUGUAUUCACUUUCGUCUGACAUGGAGUGGAAGUUGCUAAUUCGUUUGCAGAAUCUAUAUUUUUGCAGAUUGUUAAGCCAAUGGAAGAGGAGUCAGGAGGCACAACCUCAAAGAGAUGUGUAAGACCACACAAUAAUCUUCUGAGUAUAAAAAUCUUACGUCUCAAUUCAGAUAGAAAAGAAAAUGUAAUUGUAAGAAAUACAAAGAAAUGAAAAUGUAUUUUGUAAGAAAUACAUAAAGAUGAAAAAAUAGUUUCAUUCAUGGCUAGAAUUAUAUUUUUUGCA